Molecule: long non-coding RNA, 394 nt
Filed under: Citrus x clementina
Lineage: Eukaryota; Viridiplantae; Streptophyta; Magnoliopsida; Sapindales; Rutaceae
Description: Citrus clementina (C. clementina) long non-coding RNA (CCLE_LNC000082)
Source: RNAcentral
AAUCUCCUCCGAAGUCUCCAUCAUAAUCAGCAGCAUCAGAGACAAUAUCUCCGAUUAAAAGCCCACCAAGCAUUCCGCCAAGCAAUCCAGUUCCAAAUCCCAGUCCCCCAUUACUCUUCUUCUGUGGCUUCACAGGCGGGUACCCGUAUCCCUGUUGUGGCGGUGGAGGCGGGUACCCGUAUCCCUGUUGUGGUGCAGGCGGGUACCCGUAUCCCUGUUGUGGCGGUGGAGGCGGGUACCCGUAUCCCGGUUGUUGCGGUGGGUAUGCACCAUUCGGCGCCGCUCCUUGAGGGGGUUGCGGUGGGUAACCGUACCCUGCCUGAGGCGGCGGGGGGUAAGCGUAAGGCACAGAGCUCGAUCCGGCUGCCAUAGGCGCCGGAUAAGCAGUCACGGG